Molecule: ribosomal RNA, 253 nt
Filed under: uncultured bacterium
Lineage: Bacteria
Description: partial 16S ribosomal RNA
Rfam family: Bacterial small subunit ribosomal RNA
Source: RNAcentral
UACGAAGGGGGCUAGCGUUGCUCGGAAUCACUGGGCGUAAAGCGCACGUAGGCGGCUUUCUAAGUCAGGGGUGAAAUCCUGGAGCUCAACUCCAGAACUGCCCUUGAUACUGGAGAGCUUGAGUUCGGGAGAGGUGAGUGGAACUGCGAGUGUAGAGGUGAAAUUCGUAGAUAUUCGCAAGAACACCAGUGGCGAAGGCGGCUCACUGGCCCGAUACUGACGCUGAGGCACGAAAGCGUGGGGAGCAAACAGG